UACGAAGGGGGCUAGCGUUGUUCGGAAUCACUGGGCGUAAAGCGCACGUAGGCGGAUUUUUAAGUCAGGGGUGAAAUCCCGAGGCUCAACCUCGGAACUGCCUUUGAUACUGGGGAUCUCGAGUCCGGGAGAGGUGAGUGGAACUGCGAGUGUAGAGGUGAAAUUCGUAGAUAUUCGCAAGAACACCAGUGGCGAAGGCGGCUCUCUGGGCCCUACCUGACGCUGAGACGCGAAAGCGUGGGGAGCGAACCGG
RNAcentral lists this ribosomal RNA (253 nucleotides) under uncultured bacterium. RNAcentral's name for it is "partial 16S ribosomal RNA". It matches the Rfam family "Bacterial small subunit ribosomal RNA", at positions 524 to 776 of the family's 1533-position model. The record is from RNAcentral.